GACGAACUGUCCUAACGUUGUUCGGAAUCACUGGGCGUAAAGCGCACGUAGGCGGACUCUUAAGUCAGGGGUGAAAUCCUGGAGCUCAACUCCAGAACUGCCUUUGAUACUGGGAGUCUUGAGUUCGGGAGAGGUGAGUGGAACUGCGAGUGUAGAGGUGAAAUUCGUAGAUAUUCGCAAGAACACCAGUGGCGAAGGCGGCUCACUGGCCCGAUACUGACGCUGAGGUGCGAAAGCGUGGGGAGCAAACAGG
Molecule: ribosomal RNA, 253 nt
Filed under: uncultured bacterium
Lineage: Bacteria
Description: partial 16S ribosomal RNA
Rfam family: Bacterial small subunit ribosomal RNA
Source: RNAcentral